This 398-nucleotide ribosomal RNA is filed under the name uncultured bacterium. Its description in RNAcentral is "partial 16S ribosomal RNA". It matches the Rfam family "Bacterial small subunit ribosomal RNA", at positions 360 to 775 of the family's 1533-position model. The record is from RNAcentral.
AAUCUUGGGAAAGGGUCGAAAGCCUGACGCAGCCAUGCCGCGUGACGGAUUUUGGUCUUAGGUUUGUAAAAUUCUUUCUCCGGGGACGAUCAUAACGGUACCCUGACAAGAAGCUCCGCCCAACUUCGUGCCAUCAGCCGCGGUAAUACGAAGGGGGCUAGCGUUGCUCGGAAUUACUGGGCGUAAAGGGCGCGUAGGCGGACAUUUAAGUCAGGGGUGAAAUCCCAGAGCUCAACUCUGGAACUGCCUUUGAUACUGGGUGUCGUGAGUGUGAGAGAGGUAUGUGGAACUCCGAGUGUAGAGGUGAAAUUCGUAGAUAUUCGGAAGAACACCAGUGGCGAAGGCGACAUACUGGCUCAUUACUGACGCUGAGGCGCGAAAGCGUGGGGAGCAAACAG